CCUGGAGGCUCAGUGUUGACUGAACAGCGAAAACUUAGUGUCAUUAAAUCAGAAACUCCGAUCUCGUGCAAGAAGCAAGGAGACUGGUUCCCGGUGGUCCACACGGGAGGCCCCAGGAAGGAAGCUCUGCAAACAGCUCUGAGUGCUGGCCCCCUCGGCCUCUGCUGCCAGCUGCCUUUAUCACCGGAAGCCCUGCCCUCUACGCAGCUGCCCUCCGCCGCUGCCACAGAACCACUGAGGAAACCCUGGACCCUGAGAUGUGGAGGAAGCCGCUCUGCAAUUGGAGAGCAGUUGCCAGGCUGGACGCCAAGGACAAGCCCCACCACUGUGUCUGUUGUUCUUAGGGGACAAAAACGUUCCCACCAUCCCAACCACCACCAAGGUGUUCUUGGAAGGGAGGUGGUUGGCAUCCAAAGGCUUCAUGAGGGAACCUUUUUCCUCACUGAGGUCACUACAUUUUUUUUUUUUUAAGGGCUGCAUCUGUGGCAUAUGGAGAUUCCCAGAACUGUAGCCACCGGCCUACACCAGAGCUACAGCAACGAGGGAUCUAAGUUGUGUCUGCGACCUACACCACAGCUCACCGUAACACCGGAUCCUUAAGCCACUGAGUGAGGCCAGGGGUCAAACCCAUGUCCUCGUGGAUGCUAGCCGGGUCCGUUACUGCUGAGCCGUGGCGAGAGCUUCAGAGUCACUACAUUUGCUGUUGAUUCCUUGGCUUUCUUGGCUCUUCAAGGAAAUAUAUUUCUGAAAAUUAUUAUUUGUUUUUAUUUUCACUGUUGGGUAGGUACAUUUGGUGGAUGCAUGUUAUGUAAUCUCAGAGAUGAAUGCACACAUAAAACAAAAUAGAAAUAUAUUGCGUUAUGUUUCAAGGUGUAACAGCAAACAGGACAUUACAUCUAGGAUGGACUCACCAAGGUAGAGCCUGUGGAUUCCUGUCUCCCUGACUCACCGGUUCUGAUUCCUAUUUUUCAUUUAUUUUCCUUUAAACACAAAUUUGUUUUUUUUUUUUUUUUCUAAUUACAAAAACAUGGCAGAAGAAUCGAAGAAACACAUAUUAGUGGGGGAAAAAUGAAUAAGAAAAUAAUGAUCUUUUAUAAUCCCACCAUUCCACAAUAACCACGGUUAA
This 1126-nucleotide long non-coding RNA is filed under the name Sus scrofa (pig). RNAcentral describes it as "lncRNA (ENSSSCG00030053115.1)". The record is from RNAcentral. Lineage: Eukaryota; Metazoa; Chordata; Mammalia; Artiodactyla; Suidae.